Molecule: long non-coding RNA, 1863 nt
Filed under: Homo sapiens (human)
Lineage: Eukaryota; Metazoa; Chordata; Mammalia; Primates; Hominidae
Description: non-protein coding lnc-NCL-2:1
Source: RNAcentral
AAAGAAGGAAGAGGUUUUUAUUCGGCCGGGAGCGUCGGCAGACUCGCGUCUUAAGAGCCGAGCUCCCCGAAAAAGAAAUUCCUAGCCCUUUUAAGAGCUUACAACUCUAAGGGGUCCACGUGAAAGGGUCAUAAUAGAUCAAGUAAGCGUGAGGAACGUGACUGGGGGCUACACACAUCAGCUAAUAGGACAAAAAGUUUUACGGUGCUUUCUCACACAAUGUCUGGGAUUUACAGAUAACACCAGUCGUUUUGGUCAGGGGUUAAUAUUAUUAUCAUUUUAACCACCAGGGCCAGGUGGUGGCGCCAAGGUCGUCUAGCUAUUUAUCUUACUUCUGUUUCUUUCCAGCUUUUUGCUUUCUCCCUUUUCUCCUGUCUUAUAAACUAGGGAAAAGGGGAGGUUGGGGAGAAGCUGGGAAGGACAACAGGAGAAGUGGUGGUCUCAUUCCAUAGCAGUAGCGCUGUCCCCUUUUCCUUCCUGGGCAUCUGAACCCCCUGGGAUUCCCCUGAGCUGGGUGCAGGCACGGAGCUGCUGGCUGGCUUGCUCAUACUGCUGUCUGAGUGACUCUUCUCCUGGGGGUAGCUCCCUCCCCACCCUGGAGGUCAGCAGCUUGGGCCAAGGUCCCUGGCACAGGGCCAUAAGCUAUUUCAGUGCUUUCAGGUUGCCUGGAAGGGAUGUCAGGGAGCCCACCGGCCUCUGUACGGCCGACCUAAUCUCACCCACUGAAACAUUAGCCUCGGGGCCAACUCUGGCCUCACCCUUGGCAGGGACAGGAAGGCACUGGCUCACGCUAGAGCCACAGCUCGGCUGUCCACCAGGGCACAGUCAAGGGCUGGGUGCAUUGCUAGCUCCCAGGUUUUUCUGUUGCCGUACUCCCAUCCCCACUUUAAUCCUAGCACUCAGCCCCGUCUAAAUCCCUUCCAGAAGUCCUUGUGCACCCACCAGCCAAGAACAAGGAACAAGCUGUGUCUUCAGAAAUCUCUGGCAACCUUGGCCCCAGACAGGCUCUCUGAUGCAGCUGGGAACAGGAAGUUUCACACCAAAAAAAAAAAAAAAAAAAAAAAAAAGUCCCAUUUUAUUGAGAAAAUAGUGUCAAUCCCUCCAUCUUUCCUAGGUGACUCCCGCUGAGGUAGGAGGUGGCAACCUUCUGCACCCACCCCCACAGCUGAUCCAUCCCUUCACCGGGGCAGAUGCUGGUCUGCUAGGCCCUGGAGAAGCAGGGUGCGGUGGGGCAGGGCUCUGGAGGGGGCUGGGCUGUGAGGGGCCUGGGGGUGCUGAGGGCAGGCAGCUGGAAUGAGGGGAGGGAAGGGAGGAGGGCCAGGGAGGACACCACCCCCUCCUGAAGCCUGGAGCCUUCUCCCUCCAAAUUCUUCAUAAAUAAAACUUCACAGUAAUAGAGGAAUGUCCACUUCCAGGGCCAAACCGGCUGUUGCGGUUCCGGGAGAUGCCGAAAGUCUUGAAGCCCUCGUGGGCCGUGGGCUGCACGCCCAGCACCUCCAGGCACAUGCCCAGAAAGACGUCGUCGAUCGGGUAGAGCUCCAGGGUGUCGCAGGCAUGGUGCAGGCGCCGGGCCAGGCUGCCGGCCAUGAGGAAGCCACCGCCGCCUGCAUACGGCGGAUAGCUGGCCUUGCCGUACAGGGCCCCCGGGAUGUAGUAUUUGUUGUCUUUCCUGCGAAUGGGCCGAGCGUGCUGCAGGACAUCGCCCACGAACAGGUUUUCCUGUGGCUGCCGGUCAGCCAGAAAUUCUAGCAGGUUGGUGGGGUUGACGAAGACGUCAUCGUCGCCUUUGAAAAUGAAGGGGACGUGGGGGCAGUAGAUGUCCAGCCACUUGAGGAAGUGGAUCUCCUUGAGGGUCAGGUUGAA